CUGAUUAUAUCAGAGUUAAUUGGCACUGUUGACCUGCCAGUCUAAUAGUUAAGAUGUUUAUUCCUUACAUAUAAUGGUGGAAACAUAAACAACUUACCAGAACAAUGGUCAUGAGUAGAAAUAUGUUACCUACCAUGUCUGCACAGGGGAAGUCUUCUGCAAUGGUGAAAAUCUGAUCUUUAAUUCCCAGGGGAGGAAGGAUUGCUUUCCUUAAAUUUGUGUUGUCUCAUCACUUUUCAAAGUGCCCAUGCUUAUACACUUCCAGAUCAUAGUCCAUCAGCAGGUGAAGUCAGGGCAGUAACUGAAGCAGGGGUGAAACCCGAAGGUUUGAUGUUAUGAAGGUGAAAGAUCCUUUUAUAUGACUUUUUCCUUGGAGUUCGGCAAGUAUUCGAGGACUACUGAAAAGUCCUUCAAUGAUCCAAUUGGCUAAGGAAACUUGAAGAUAUGCAGGUAUUAUGAAAAAUGGUGAAGUUCUGGCACUUGGG
RNAcentral lists this long non-coding RNA (485 nucleotides) under Mus pahari (shrew mouse). RNAcentral describes it as "predicted gene 15230 (MGP_PahariEiJ_G0006518.1)". Lineage: Eukaryota; Metazoa; Chordata; Mammalia; Rodentia; Muridae. The record is from RNAcentral.